GCGAACGUUUUUGUUCCAUUUUCAGUUUUUAAACGUAAAUAGUUUUUGUUUUUAAUGUCACAUCACAGUGAUCGUCGAAUUGUCUUUGGUGUGUGAAACUAGCAGAAUCUAUAGAGUACAGUGAAGUGUUUCUUAAUGGUUGUGAGUUAAGAUAUUCUAAGAUUUCUGUGGCUUGUUUGUAUACGAUUAUAUUAGAUUCGUAAAGUUAGUUUAGGUUUAGUGUGAUAAAGUUAGUUUCUAGGAAUUAUCAAAUAGUUUUUCGUGUGACACAAUAUAUCAUUUAUUCAGGGUCCAGAUCAAGGUUCUACAAAUUAUCAAGACAAAACAUAUUGAUGCUGUGGGGCUGUCGUCCAGUGCGAGCGAGCUAAGAUUGGAUAUCUUUGACUGCAAGAGCCUGAACACUGA
This is a long non-coding RNA of Amyelois transitella, 405 nucleotides long. RefSeq lists it as uncharacterized. The transcript has 3 exons. Lineage: Eukaryota; Metazoa; Arthropoda; Insecta; Lepidoptera; Pyralidae. The record is from RefSeq and is a predicted model, not a curated record.